GACGAACGCUGGCGGCGUGCUUAACACAUGCAAGUCGUACGGUAAGGCCCUUUCGGGGGUACACGAGUGGCGAACGGGUGAGUAACACGUGAGUAACCUGCCCACAACUUUGGGAUAACGCUAGGAAACUGGUGCUAAUACUGGAUAUGUGCCCCUGCUGCAUGGUGGGGGUUGGAAAGCUCCGGCGGUUGUGGAUGGACUCGCGGCCUAUCAGCUUGUUGGUGGGGUAGUGGCCUACCAAGGCGGCGACGGGUAGCCGGCCUGAGAGGGUGACCGGCCACAUUGGGACUGAGAUACGGCCCAGACUCCUACGGGAGGCAGCAGGGGGGAAUAUUGCACAAUGGGCGCAAGCCUGAUGCAGCAACGCCGCGUGCGGGAUGACGGCCUUCGGGUUGUAAACCGAUUUCAGCAGGGACGAAGCUUUUUGUGACGGUACCUGCAGAAGAAGCACCGGCUAACUACGUG
Molecule: ribosomal RNA, 465 nt
Filed under: uncultured bacterium
Lineage: Bacteria
Description: partial 16S ribosomal RNA
Rfam family: Bacterial small subunit ribosomal RNA
Source: RNAcentral